Molecule: ribosomal RNA, 242 nt
Filed under: uncultured bacterium
Lineage: Bacteria
Description: partial 16S ribosomal RNA
Rfam family: Bacterial small subunit ribosomal RNA
Source: RNAcentral
UACGUAGGGUGCGAGCGUUAAUCGGAAUUACUGGGCGUAAAGCGUGCGCAGGCGGUCUGUUAAGACCGAUGUGAAAUCCCCGGGCUUAACCUGGGAACUGCAUUGGUGACUGGCAGGCUUUGAGUGUGGCAGAGGGAGGUAGAAUUCCACGUGUAGCAGUGAAAAUGCGUAGAGAUGUGGAGGAAUACCGAUGCGAAGGCAGCCUCCUGGGGCCAACACUGACGCUCAUGCACGAAGCGUGG